Molecule: long non-coding RNA, 1220 nt
Organism: Carica papaya (papaya)
Lineage: Eukaryota; Viridiplantae; Streptophyta; Magnoliopsida; Brassicales; Caricaceae
Source: RefSeq, a predicted model, not a curated record
ACACUGCUCCUUGAUUUUCCUUGGGCUGUCGGCCACUCUUGGCAUCAAUGGCCAAGGAAUGCAUGGUCUUGGACAACCAAGAUUGACCCUCAAAUUUCCUUUAAAAGUUGAUUUCUUCUCUGCUUCUUCUUCCUCACUUUAUUUGAACUAAAAUUUGAAAAGCAAAGUGAAAUCCGAGAGUGUUGGUGAGGAAGGAAGUUUAAAAACAGAUUGUGAGUGUGUGCUGGUGCCAAGAAGGAAUUCUGGUGUAUUUGUGGAAGGAAUUUCCUUCUGCUCCGAGCUAGGUAAGCCUUCUUCCCUUCGAGUUAGUUCCUUUUGGCUUCCAGAAUAUUUAUACACCUUUCAUGAAGAUUUUAGAGCCCAAAAUCUGCAGCAACUUCCCUCCUUUAUUGCUGUUCUAUCUGCUGUCACGGGUUGUAGGGGAACACAAGGGAAAAGAGAACAAAGAUAAAAGCCAAAUAGCUUCUGUCACGCGUGCCAAGCAUCAACAUGUCACUUCUGUUGGGCAGACAUGAUUUUGUCGUGCUAAUACGCUCAAUGGGAUGAUUUCUGAGCAAUCGGAAGUGUUGGAAAACAUCUCUGGCAUAAAGCUAUUGAGCAAUUACUGCGUAGGUCAUGUGAGGCGCUCGACUAGGCUUUUCCAGAAUGCCAGCAAUGCAUAAUUUAACAAUUUAAACAAAAUAGUUAAAGGACAAUAAAAUGAAAUAAAUUAAAGUUUUUGAGUUAAUUGAAAAGAAUAAAAAUUAUAAUUAAAGAAAUCAAACACUAAAUAAUAAACUAAAUCGAAUUAAUAAUCUCAGUAAUUAGAUAAUAGCAAUUAUACAUUUUAAAAAAUCACGUAGGAUAAAAUAAAAAUUUAAGAAAAAAAAAUAUUAAAGAGUCUAAAUAUAAAUAUCAUAGUAUCCAAUUAAAUCCGGUUCACUGAUUUUCUUGGAGGGAUAUUGAGUUUAAUAGGGGAGCCACUAGACUUUGGGUGUGAUAUUGGGUCCAGUUGAAGCUAAGUGCAGUAGUUUGAGGACUCUGAACUGAUUGUUAUUCAUAGUCCUUGGGCUUAAGGCCAUGAAUGAUGGUGUCCAGAGAGUACUGAGUGAAUUAUAGGUAUUUAUUUACAUCUUUUUAGUUAUUUAUUGAUUGUACUUCCACUAUUAACUAGUUGGUAACCUAUGCUCUCCUUUGAAGUAGUAUUAGCGGUUGCGUGCAUAGGAUUAUAAAUAAUGAAA